RNAcentral lists this non-coding RNA (25 nucleotides) under Mus musculus (house mouse). Lineage: Eukaryota; Metazoa; Chordata; Mammalia; Rodentia; Muridae. The record is from RNAcentral.
UAACGAGUUAUCGCAGGGCAGUGGU